RNAcentral lists this ribosomal RNA (253 nucleotides) under uncultured bacterium. RNAcentral describes it as "partial 16S ribosomal RNA". It matches the Rfam family "Bacterial small subunit ribosomal RNA", at positions 524 to 776 of the family's 1533-position model. The record is from RNAcentral.
UACGUAGGGACCGAGCGUUGUCCGGAUUCAUUGGGUUUAAAGGGAGCGUAGGCGGUCUUAUAAGUCAGUGGUGAAAGCCGAUAGCUUAACUAUCGAAUUGCCAUUGAUACUGUAGGUCUAGAGUACAGAUGAUGUUGGCGGAAUAUGACAUGUAGCGGUGAAAUGCAUAGAUAUGUCAUAGAACACCGAUUGCGAAGGCAGCUGACAAAACUGUAACUGACGCUGAGGCUCGAAAGUGCGGGGAUCAAACAGG